UACGGAGGGUGCAAGCGUUAUCCGGAUUUAUUGGGUUUAAAGGGUCCGUAGGCGGGCUCGUAAGUCAGUGGUGAAAUCUCAUAGCUUAACUAUGAAACUGCCAUUGAUACUGCGGGUCUUGAGUAAGGUAGAGGUAGCUGGAAUAAGUAGUGUAGCGGUGAAAUGCAUAGAUAUUACUUAGAACACCAAUUGCGAAGGCAGGUUACCAUGUCUUAACUGACGCUGAUGGACGAAAGCGUGGGGAGCGAACAGG
RNAcentral lists this ribosomal RNA (253 nucleotides) under uncultured bacterium. Its description in RNAcentral is "partial 16S ribosomal RNA". It matches the Rfam family "Bacterial small subunit ribosomal RNA", at positions 524 to 776 of the family's 1533-position model. The record is from RNAcentral.